GGUGAGGGUGAUCUAGCUGUGACAUCUGUCACCCCACUGAUCGCCAGGGUUAAUUCAGCUGAUCUGGCUGGCUAGGAGGGUGUCCCUUUCCUCCCUCACUGCUCCAUGUGUGUCCCUCCCGAAGCUGCGCGCUCAGUCGAAGAGGACGGCCUUCCACAAAUAAAGACGGAUGGAUCAGUCUUUGGUUGAGGGUAUCUGAGUAGCUGCGCUCCCUUGCUAGAACCUCCAAACAAGCUCUCAAAAGGGAAAAUAUAAAAUUCUAAAAAGUUUACUCAUUGAUGAGAACCCAAUACUAUCCAU
Molecule: small nuclear RNA, 300 nt
Filed under: Erinaceus europaeus (western European hedgehog)
Lineage: Eukaryota; Metazoa; Chordata; Mammalia; Eulipotyphla; Erinaceidae
Description: 7SK RNA
Rfam family: 7SK RNA
About the family: 7SK was discovered as an abundant small nuclear RNA in the mid-70s but a possible function has only recently been suggested. Two independent studies have found that 7SK RNA binds the CDK9/cyclin T complex (known as elongation factor P-TEFb). P-TEFb activates transcription by phosphorylating the C-terminal domain of RNA polymerase II.
Source: Rfam by way of RNAcentral